Molecule: long non-coding RNA, 1060 nt
Organism: Anopheles stephensi (Asian malaria mosquito)
Lineage: Eukaryota; Metazoa; Arthropoda; Insecta; Diptera; Culicidae
Exons: 3
Source: RefSeq, a predicted model, not a curated record
GAGUUCCUCUAUUCUUGUAUUUGCUCUUUUCUCUCCUGAUUUUGCUUUGCUUCUCUUCAUGUUCGUAGACUCUUCGCGUUGUGUGGUGGUAUGUUUGUGUGUAACAACGGAACUUUCGCUGCAAGGUUGGAGGGGGUGGGCGUCGAGUGUGUUGUUUAUCAGCUGUGAUCUGUGCGUGUGAAACUUUUUCGGUGUGCUGAAACGGGUGAGUAAGAGUAAGAUUAGAAACAGAAUGCCGUGUGCAUGUAUACCUCAGCCUGAAGACUGAACCACCAGACUUGCUCAGAGCAGGAAUGAAAUACACGUAAUAUAAAUUGGAGCGUGGUACGCUUGCGCGUAGCAGAUCAUGGUGUGGUUAAGAAGAAAAAAAGAAGCAGUGCUACAGUUGUACUAGACGCUGGAAUGGCUUGUAUCGGUUGAAAUUUUCUUAUAUUUCAGAUUCAAAAAUCUGUUUGCUCUACAAAGUCGAUGAGUGCAUCUAAUCAGUUCUGCAGCGCCAUGGUGAACGUUGGGAGGUGUUGGCACGGAAGACGGAGCGGGAAAAGGUUCACGACAACUAUGCGGUGAGGAGGAUAUCAACGGAUUGUGCAUUUACAGUUAGCGGGUGAGCACACGCUGUACCUCGUAGGAGAACCUGGCCAUGGGUAUCGGAGAAUGCAUAUCGUAUGCCGGAAUCGUGCUUGGCCUUGAACACUGACUCUGCUCAAUCACGGGUUCCAAAUUGGUCAUUACGUUACCGGCGGCUUGCCAGCAAUCAGCAUUGGGUGUUCUUUUUCCGUUCAGUUCUUCCUACCGUCCUUCUGUGUAUAAAGUGCCUUCCAUUAACAUCUCCCGACAGCAAUGGUUGCUUCUAGCACGGAUUAUGAUGGUGCUGUUGCUGAAGAGGAAUGUUGUGUUGCCUGGUUGCACUGGACAGGAUAGUCAGUGCGAUAGUGUUAGGUGCUAGAAAUACAAGAUGUAAAUAUAAAAUGAUUACUUUACAUGUUAAUACAGAAGAGGUGAUUAUAUAGGUUAUAGAAUUACGGCUUUUACUUACUAAUAAAAACAUGAACGAGCGAAA